AUUGUUACCCGGUUGAUCAUAUUCACUUCAAAUGCAGUGACAACAGCCUAAACACAUUGAUGAUGCAUCCCAGUGAAAAUGGUGACUUGUCAUCAAAGGGCGUGUCUGUGGCGGCCAAACCAAUUUCGAUGUUUCGCCAUGAAAAUUUAACGAUUCAUAUCUCAGCUGAACAACAUCCUAUCUGCCUCAGACUUCACAUGCUGGAUACCAGGUCCAGUCUGAACACAUCCACACUCAUAAAUUCUGAAAAAGUCAUAGCGCCACCUGUUGGUAAUAGUAAGUUUAAGGCCUUAUAUUUUCAGGUACAAUGGCCCCAAACUUGGUGAUAUCAUGCUGGAAAUUGGUCAGUCGAGUCUUCACCUCUUGACAAUCACACACUGUGAAGGGUGUGACAUUUCAUGCAACGCUGUUGCCGUAGCAACCAAAUAUCGCCAUGAAAAACAAAGCCCUUUCUGACAGGUUAGGAAUACUCCAAUGCUCACAAAAAUUACCACACACAUCACCAUUGACCCAAGGAACAACACUGUAUGCAUCUCGGCACUGCACAUGCUAUAGCGCCCCCUACAGUAUUUUUAACAAACAGCCCCCCCAGCACGUUUCACCUACAUCCAUGAAAUUUGGGAGGCUUAUAGAGCACAUCAGGACGCACAAAAAAGCCUCUUGGAGCCAUGUCCUAAACCCAACAGGAAGUCGGCCAUCUUGGAUUAAUUGUGAGAUUUUUGAUGAUUUUUCUCAUUUUUGAGAGUUAAUACCUCCUAGGGGAUAAUUCCAGGAGACCUGAAAUUUUGUCAGUCCACACAGCAGGACUUGGUUGGAAAAGUUAUCAAAAGUUUAACCAGAAGCCAAAUGGCGUGGCCAUGGCGACCAUUAGAGUUUUGAUGCUUCGCCAUGAAACAACAACUGCUGUAUAACUCUCCUCUGCAUGCUCCAAUCUGCCUCAAACUUUCCAUGUGUGAUCACAAUCCAAUCCUGAUCACAUCUACAGGCCAACAGACACUCUCAGUUGCAGCGCCACCUGUUGGAGGGACAAUAAAUGCUGUAUAACUGGCCUCUACAUGAUCAAAUCAGCCUGAAACUUUUCAUGAGUGAUCAGAGUCCAGCCCUCAUCACAUCCACUGUUUGAAAUACACUCUGAGUUACAGCGCCACCUGGUGGUGGAUGGGCAGGAAAUGCUGUAUAACUAGUCUGAACAUGCUCCAAUCUGGCUGAAAUUUUACGUGUGAUUAAACUCUGGUCCAGAUGUGAUUCAGAGGCCAGCACACACUCUCAGUCACAGUGCCACCUGGUGGACGUGCAUGGAUUCGCCGACCAGCGUGGAUGCGAGGACCCGUCCAUCGCUGCUUGCAGCUUUAAUUAUUAUUAUUAUUAUUUUUUUUUUCUCCCGUAAAGUAAAUUGGCUUUUUGGCGGCCUUAUCAUACUCCAAAACGCGUGAAAUUUGGCAUGCACAUCAGGACUGGCGAAAAAUUUGAUAUUUUAUGGGAGUUGCGCAUGUGCGUGGCAAAAUGGCUCUAUAGCGCCACCUGCAAACUUGAAAAAGUAGUCAUUAGGCCAACUGCCACAAUGUUUCAUGUACAGCUACAAUAUUUGGUGGGCAUAUGCAGAACAUCUGGACACACCAAAAAGUCAAUUACAGCCACGCCCUAAACCCAACAGGAAGUCGGCCAUCUUCAAUUUGCUGUAAAUUUUUCAAACUUAAUCGCUCCUCGGGAAAUGACUUGCCUUUUUGGCGGCCUUAUCAUGAACCAAAACGCGUGAAAUUUGGCGUGCACAUCAGGACUGGCGAAAAAUUUGAUAUUUUAUGGGAGUUGCGCAUAUGUGUGAAAAAAUGGCUCUAUAGCGCCACCUGCAAAAUUGAAAAGUGGUCAUUAGGCCAACUUCCACAAUGUUUUAUUUACAGCUACAAUAUUUGGUGGGCAUAUGCACCACAUCAGGACACACCAAAAAGUCAAUCACAGCCACACCCUAAACCCAACAGGAAGUCGGCCAUCUUGAAUUUGCUGUACAUUUGUCAAAAUUUAUAGCUCCUAGUGGAUAAGUCUGAGAGAACUGAAAUUUGGCCAGUACAUGCACCAGACCUUUCUGAUGAAAAGUUAUCAAAAACUCAACCAGAAGCCAAAAGGUGUGGCCAUGGCGGAGCCUCAAACAACUGAUCCUUCGCCAUGAAACAGGAAGUGGUGUCUAAUUCUUCUCAACAUGCUCCAAUCUGCCUGAAACUUUACAUGUAUGAUGACAGUCCUGUCCUGAUGUCAUCCACAUAGGGAUAUUCAUUGACAGUCAUAGCGCCACCUUGUGGUUUCAGGAAAUAGACAUCUUUUACACUUUCAUGCCCUAUUGUUACCCGGUUGAUCAUAUUCACUUCAAAUGCAGUGACAACAGCCUAAACACAUUGAUGAUGCAUCCCAGUGAAAAUGGUGACUUGUCAUCAAAGGGCGUGUCUGUGGCGGCCAAACCAAUUUCCAUGUUUCGCCAUGAAAAUUUAACGAUUCAUAUCUCAGCUGAACAACAUCCUAUCUGCCUCAGACUUCACAUGCUGGAUACCAGGUCCAGUCUGAACACAUCCACACUCAUAAAUUUUGAAAAAGUCAUAGCGCCACCUGUUGGUAAUAGUAAGUUUAAGGCCUUAUAUUUUCAGGUACAAUGGCCCCAAACUUGGUGAUAUCAUGCUGGAAAUUGGUCAGUCGAGUCUUCACCUCUUGACAAUCACACACUGUGAAGGGUGUGACAUUUCAUGCAACGCUGUUGCCGUAGCAACCAAAUAUCGCCAUGAAAAACAAAGCCCUUUCUGACAGGUUAGAAAUACUCCAAUGCUCACUAAAAUUACCACACACAUCACCAUCGACCCAAGGAACGACACUGUAUGCAUCUCGGCACUGCACAUGCUAUAGCGCCCCCUACAGUAUUUUUAACAAACAGCCCCCCCAGCACAUUUCACCUACAUCCAUGAAGUUUGGGAGGCUUAUAGAGCACAUCAGGACGCACAAAAAAGCCUCUUGGAGCCAUGUCCUAAA
Acanthochromis polyacanthus (spiny chromis) is the source of this 3009-nucleotide long non-coding RNA. RefSeq lists it as uncharacterized. Lineage: Eukaryota; Metazoa; Chordata; Actinopteri; Pomacentridae. The record is from RefSeq and is a predicted model, not a curated record. The transcript has 4 exons.